UAUUUAACCCUCUAUGGUACGGAGUUGCCAUAUGGCAACAAUUAAUUUAUACUCAUUUCCUUGUUAUUCUGAAAAAAACUACGAUAUAUCACAUUAUGGGAAUUAAAAGGGUAGGCCUUAAGGUAGCCAAUGAUGUGCUGUUUUUAAGUCACAUGACAACUGAAUGUCCUCCCAAAACUCCUUUUCCCACUGUCACCCUCACACAGAAGACACCUGUUGAAGUGCUCCAGAAAUUGCUCUAUUAACCUAAUUUCUAAACAUCUUUUCUCAAGGGGGAUUUUUUUGCAACAUCUUUGAAAAUGAAUACAGCUAUAUUUUAUGGAAAGGGCAAUAGGAAGAGUGCAGAGUUGGCCUGUCAUGGAGAAUAAAGGGAAGUGCAAAUACCCUGGCUGAAGGGGGAUCGUCCGCAUGAAGAGCAGCAAAUGUGACUUGCACCUUUGCAUCACAGCUGAAAGGAACUGCUUUUUGCAGUUUCAUGGGAUGUCAUGAAAUGUGACUUGAGUUGGAUUGAGACAGGUGCACAGUGAUGGACUGGGAAAACCCACACUGUGGGGCAGCUGUGGCCUAAAAGUCAGAGUGUUGGACUAGUUACCCAAAGAUCACCGGUUUGAGUCUCGGUGCUGGUAGGAGUUGUCGGUGGGUGGGGAGUGAAUGAACAGUGCUCUCUUCCACCCUCAAUACCCAUGGCUGAAGUGCCCUUGAGCAAGGCACUGAACCCCCAGUUGCUCCCCGGGCACUGGAUAUAUAGCUGCCCACUGCUCCGGGUGUGUGUUCACUUCUCACUGCUGUGUGUGUGCACUUGGAUGGGUUAAAUGCAGAGCACCAAUUCCGAGUAUGGGUUACCAUACUUGGCAAAUGUCACAACUUUAACUUUUCACUUUACUUCAGGGAGCCCCCUAUGGUAAUACCUGAAUUUUAUGUUUUCAUGUUCUACAUGGUAUUAGUGCAUGUUCCAUGCUACCAUACAUUUACUUAACUUGUAUAAAAUACUUUCAAAAAGACUUGUUUUUGUUGUUGGAAUCUUUGUGGAUGUAAAACAAUAAAAAGUUGAUGAAUUUGAUAUGCAUAUAUGGUACAAAAGCGAAUUUUUUUGUCCGUUUGCAAGCAUUAUUAUAAUACUUUUAAGUACUAUUUUGAAGGUUAAAUGAUAGGAACCUACUUACUUUUGGUUUGCAUGAGUUCCAAGUAUAAAAAUCUAUCAAUAUCUAAAAGAAAUGUCAAUUUAAAUAGAAAAGAUAAUCAUAGUUUAAUAGAAAAACUACUUUUUUGGUCAUUUUCCAUUGUGGUACACUGUUGCCAUAUGGCAACGUUUUCCUAAAUACCCC
Molecule: long non-coding RNA, 1325 nt
Organism: Cyprinus carpio carpio
Lineage: Eukaryota; Metazoa; Chordata; Actinopteri; Cypriniformes; Cyprinidae
Source: Ensembl